UACGUAGGCAGCGAGCGUUGUUCGGAAUUACUGGGCGUAAAGAGUGCGUAGGCGGUGCUCUAAGUCUGUUGUGAAGUCUCCCGGCUCAACUGGGAGGGUGCGGCGGAAACUAGAGUGCUAGAGUAUGGGAGAGGUAAGCGGAAUUCCUGGUGUAGCGGUGAAAUGCGUAGAUAUCAGGAGGAACACCUGUGGUGUAGGCAGCUUACUGGACCAUGACUGACGCUGAGGCACGAAAGCGUGGGUAGCAAACAGG
RNAcentral lists this ribosomal RNA (253 nucleotides) under uncultured bacterium. RNAcentral's name for it is "partial 16S ribosomal RNA". It matches the Rfam family "Bacterial small subunit ribosomal RNA", at positions 524 to 776 of the family's 1533-position model. The record is from RNAcentral.